UACGAGGGGAGCAAGCGUUGUUCGGAAUUAUUGGGCGUAAAGCGCGUGUAGGCGGUCCAACAAGUCUGGCGUGAAAGCCUUGAGCUCAACUCAAGAAGUGCGCUGGAAACUGUCGGACUUGAGUACUGGAGGGGGAGGUGGAAUUCUCGAGUGUAGAGGUGAAAUUCGUAGAUAUUCGGAAGAACAUCAGUGGCGAAGGCGACCUCCUGGACAGAUACUGACGCUGAGACGCGAAAGCGUGGGUAGCAAACAGG
This 254-nucleotide ribosomal RNA is filed under the name uncultured bacterium. RNAcentral describes it as "partial 16S ribosomal RNA". It matches the Rfam family "Bacterial small subunit ribosomal RNA", at positions 524 to 776 of the family's 1533-position model. The record is from RNAcentral.